UGUGGCCCACACAUAGAAAAACUUACCUUGUAAGUCAAGGCAUGUGCCCUACAAAGUCAACACAUAUUGGAGGUCCUAUAGAACGUCGCCACGUAGCCCCUAGUUAGAGAGUAUAUAUAGAGACAAGAGUGAAGGCUUCUUCACUCUUGUCAACUCCUUUCUUGCUUCUAGUCUGUUUCAAGGGUCUCUAGUUUUCUUGUCUUUUGGCA
This 209-nucleotide long non-coding RNA is filed under the name Physcomitrium patens. RNAcentral describes it as "long non-coding RNA (PPAT_LNC003072)". The record is from RNAcentral. Lineage: Eukaryota; Viridiplantae; Streptophyta; Bryopsida; Funariales; Funariaceae.